AAUCUGUAGACGCCGAAACGGCCCAGCCGCCGACAACGUCUUUCGGCAUGUUUAUCUUUUCAUCGCUUACUUUACGCUCUUAAUUUAGUGGCGGAAAAGUUGAAUCGUGGGAGCUUUUUCUGCCGCUGUUGACGCCGACUGCGCAAGAUUCGAGACCAUACUAUUAUCUUUUGCGGUGAAUAAAGACGGCGGCAUCGGGAUUUCUUGAAAUGAAGCCCGGAGACAGCCAGCUGGUCGAAGCUGUUCGUAAGCGGGAGGCACUUUGGAAUGUGCGGCAGGCAGCAUAUCACCAGCGCAAGCACAAGCUGCGGCUAUGGGCGGAGGUGGCGGCAGAGACCGGACGAAAUGUUGCUGAUGUAAAGUCAAGAUGGAAGUCCAUCCGGGACUAUUUUAUGAAGUGUCGGCAGGCCCCGCCGAGCGGCUCUGCUGCCAGCUCGACCACCGACGGCGCCACGCAGAGGGAGCUGAGUUUCCUCAAUGAUUCUGUCAAGCCAAAGCCGAGAACCCUGACAUAGAAGAAGAACACUCUGGUGAUCCAUGGCUCGUAUUCUCGGAAGUGGACGACGAUUGGGAGCAGGACUCCGCACCCCGCGCGCCGCCUGCUGGCCCGCAGAGGGCCUCUACACCUCGGGAGCCAUCUGCUGAUCGCCCGCAGCAGGCCUCCGCACCCCGCACGCCGCCUGCUGAUCGCGCGCAGGAGGCAUCUGCUCCUCGGGCGCCGACCGCUGGUCGCCCGCAGCAGGCCUCGGCACCCCGCACGCCGCCUGCUGAUCGCGCGCAGGAGGCAUCUGCUCCUCGGGCGCCGACCGCUGGUCGCCCGCAGCAGGCCUCCGCACCCCGCACGCCGCCUGCUGAUCGCGCGCAGGAGGCCUCUGCUCCUCGGGAGCCGACCGCUGACCGACCAGAGCAGGGCGAAGUCCAGCCCCAGAGGCCUCGCCGGCGUGCCCGUCGGGUGGCUGCCGACGAAGGGACCAGGGAGAUCCUGCAGCGGGCGAUUGAGCAGGUGCAGCAAGCCGUCGAGAGGCUAGAGGACGAUGAUGCCAUCUUUGGACAUUUGGUGGGUCAGGAUAUCAGGCAAGUGGCAACUAGAAAGAAGUCCCUUCUUAAAAUCCAAAUCAUGCAGCUGAUCCACGCUGCGGCAUAUGAGGAAUGAUAUCCAGUCCUGCAACAGCUACAGGGCCCGGCAUUUGUUUUGCUUUAAAUCAAUGCUGUUUUUAAUGUGUUAUAGAAUCGCUAGGCUUAUGUUUGAUAAUGUAAGCAAGCGCUUUUCUCAGGCUCAUUGUUAAUAAGAUAAUGAUAAGAAUCAGUAGCCUUAUAAUAAAGCUCAAUGUAUUGCCGAAUAUAAUUAAACCAGAAUGAGACGACAGUUUCGGGCGUAGCCCAUUAUCAAGUCUGACAAUUCCGGAUUUGAAAUUUCAAAUCCGGAAUUGUCAGACUUGAUAAUGGGCUACGCCCGAAACUGUCGUCUCAUUCUGGUUUAAUUAUAUUCGGCAAUACAUUGAACUUUAUUAUAAGGCUACGGCUUUUCAUCAUUAUCUUUGGUUAUAGAAUUGCCGUAAUUAUUUAUUUGCACAUCAAUUUUGUACUUGUGUUGAUUCCAAUUCAUUACCGUUCAAAUUCAUUACACGCAUUGUGGUUGUAUCUGAUCACGCGUGGUUGUAUCUGAUUAUUUUUUGCAUAUUUCGUCAUGUCUUUUGCAUGCUUUACAUUUGUUUUAUUCGGUUUGAUCUUUGUAACGUAAUAAAUGUGGGCGAUUAAAAUAAACGUCUUGCAUUGGAA
This 1779-nucleotide unclassified non-coding RNA is filed under the name Amphibalanus amphitrite. RNAcentral's name for it is "translation initiation factor IF-2-like, transcript variant X1". The record is from RNAcentral. Lineage: Eukaryota; Metazoa; Arthropoda; Thecostraca; Balanomorpha; Balanidae.